Molecule: long non-coding RNA, 666 nt
Organism: Planococcus citri (citrus mealybug)
Lineage: Eukaryota; Metazoa; Arthropoda; Insecta; Hemiptera; Pseudococcidae
Exons: 3
Source: RefSeq, a predicted model, not a curated record
UAAGAAUUUUGAAAAAAUAUAAACAUAAACUUGAACUUUCAAGUUUCGAAGCAAAAGCUCGAAAGUUUUCUUCAUUGAGCGAAUAAUUAAGGUUAAAAGUAAUAAAAUAUGGCCGAAGCAUGUAAUCUAGACGAUCAAGGAACCGAAGAAAUCACAGACUUUUCCAAAAAAGGCCCUAUAUCAACCAGCAUCAGGAAUGCUGUAUUCGAAAAGACCAGAAUAUUUGCUCCUUGAGCUGAAUGCAACGCUAAUAUGAGUCAUAUCAUUACUGCAUCGAAUUCGAUUUCGAAAUUGGAAAUAAUCCUUUUGUCAGUGCUCUUUUAGGAAGAUUAUGAGUUACUCACGAAUAUGAAUAAUAUAACAGCAAUGAAGUACUCAGAUAUGAGACAAAUCACCACCAAAGUAUCAAAAUAAGAGCAACGAUUCAAACAACAGAUAUGAGAAAUUAUCACCUUUACUCGAAACAAUUACAUAUCCAAACUAGAAGGAGCUGCGUAUAAAUUGGAUGCAUAUGCUAAAAAACUAGAAGUUUUAAAAUAUUAGAGAAAAGGUACAAUACUGUCGUGUCGUAAAUUGAGCUGUUUUUCAUUCAAUAAUAAAAUCAUGUACCUUUUUUUUUUGUGUAAUUUUGUACAAAAAAUGUUCAAAUAUAAUUUUAAAUAAUUA